Molecule: ribosomal RNA, 449 nt
Filed under: uncultured bacterium
Lineage: Bacteria
Description: partial 16S ribosomal RNA
Rfam family: Bacterial small subunit ribosomal RNA
Source: RNAcentral
AACGAACGCUGGCGGCAUGCCUAACACAUGCAAGUCGAACGAGAUCUUCGGGUCUAGUGGCGCACGGGUGCGUAACGCGUGGGAAUCUGCCCUUUGGUUCGGAAUAACAGUUGGAAACGACUGCUAAUACCGGAUGAUGACGAAAGUCCAAAGAUUUAUCGCCAGAGGAUGAGCCCGCGUAGGAUUAGCUAGUUGGUGUGGUAAAGGCGCACCAAGGCGACGAUCCUUAGCUGGUGUGAGAGGAUGAUCAGCCACACUGGGACUGAGACACGGCCCAGACUCCGACGGGAGGCAGCAUUGGGGAAUAUUGGACAAUGGGCGAAAGCCUGAUCCAGCAAUGCCGCGUGAGUGAUGAAGGCCUUAGGGUUGUAAAGCUCUUUUACCCGGGAUGAUAAUGACAGUACCGGGAGAAUAAGCUCCGGCUAACUCCGUGCCAGCCGCCGCGGUAA